This 504-nucleotide ribosomal RNA is filed under the name uncultured Desulfobulbus sp. RNAcentral describes it as "bacterial SSU rRNA". It matches the Rfam family "Bacterial small subunit ribosomal RNA", at positions 885 to 1382 of the family's 1533-position model. Lineage: Bacteria; Pseudomonadati; Thermodesulfobacteriota; Desulfobulbia; Desulfobulbales; Desulfobulbaceae. The record is from RNAcentral.
GCCAGCCCGCUCAGAAACUCAAAGGAAUUGACGGGGCCCGCGACAAGCGGUGGAGUAUGUGGUUUAAUUCGAUGCAACGCGAAGAACCUUACCUGGUCUUGACAUCCCGGAGACCCUUAGGAAACUAGGGGUGCUCCCAUCUGGAAGAAUCUGGAGACAGGUGCUGCAUGGCUGUCGUCAGCUCGUGUCGUGAGAUGUUGGGUUAAGUCCCGCAACGAGCGCAACCCUUGCCUUUAGUUGCCAGCAGUUCGGCUGGGCACUCUAAAGGGACUGCCGGUGUUAAACCGGAGGAAGGUGGGGAUGACGUCAAGUCCUCAUGGCCUUUAUGACCAGGGCUACACACGUACUACAAUGGCCGAUACAAAGGGCAGCGACACUGCGAGGUGAAGCCAAUCCCGUAAAAUCGGUCUCAGUCCGGAUUGGAGUCUGCAACUCGACUCCAUGAAGUUGGAAUCGCUAGUAAUCGUGGAUCAGCAUGCCACGGUGAAUACGUUCCCGGGCCUU